Non-coding RNA from Triticum aestivum (bread wheat), 129 nucleotides. Lineage: Eukaryota; Viridiplantae; Streptophyta; Magnoliopsida; Poales; Poaceae. The record is from Rfam.
GAUAUACUCCCUCCAUACGGAAUUACUUGUCACAUAAAUAAAUGGAUGUAUCUAAAUGUAUUUCAGUUUUAGAUACAUUCAUUUUUAUCCAUUGCUACAACAAGUUAUUCCGGACGGAGGGAGUAGAUU